GGGACACGGUCCGGCGCUGCCGAGGGGCUGUGCGCGGGAUGCUCGCCGUAAAUGACACCGUGCUGCGGUCAGUGUCCUGCCCCGCAGCCGGGAAUACCGGAGUCAGUGUCCUGUCCCGGUGCGGGGAUGCCAGGGACGCUGUCCUCCCCGUGUCCUCCCCGUGUCCUCUCCCAGUGUCCUCCCCAGCCGCACUGUCCGAACGAGCUUUGGGACCUGCCCCCGCAUCCUUCCUCGGAGCCGGGAAGGGUUUUCCAGCGUUGCGGCGGAGGAAGGUGGCCUGUCCCCACUCGGGGUUGUGCAAACACCCAGACGUUACUAGUUGUCUCUAUUAAUAGACACGAGGAACUCCGAAAUCCCCAUGACAAAGACUGUGACUGUAGAUUCCCCUUCCCAGGCCAGAAGUGGGUAGUUCGGUGUAACCCAGCCCUGAUGUCACCUUCCCGCAGCCGGGAGUUUCCGAGCAGGCAGCGAGGACUAUAAGAGUGGGACUCGGGCACGGGCAGGGUGAAGCCAUGGAGCGAGCCGGGAGCACUGCACACACCGAGACGUCUCUGCCAGCCAAGAGGGCCAGCUUCUCCUCCUCCUGUGUCUGUCCUCACCAGCCAGGGCUGAUGUCACCUUCAUUCCUUACCCACUGCCCCACACCUACGAAUGCAGACGUGGACCAGGGACUUUUCCCCACCGUCUGCUUCCAUGGGUAGAGCCCACAGCCCAGCUGCGAGGUGAAGGACUGAAACCUCACUGAUGCUCCUCCUCCCCCCCUGCCUCCCACUGCCCUCCACCACUGGAGGAAGCCACAGCAGGGAGGGGGCCCAGCCCUAGCUCUGCGUGGAAAGGAACCAGGAGGGAGACAGCAGGAGGUCAGCAAGAGUUGGCAGCAACAUUAUCUGCUUUCCAGCUGGGGUGGGACACUUCUGCUGGCCAAGAGGAGGUCUGCUGUCCCUCCUCUCACAGGAGUGUUUCAUGGUUGGGAGGUACCAAAUAACUCCCGUAAAAUGCUGUCCCAGGUACGCUCUGCUUCAUGCUGCCAAUGGGACAGGAAUUUUGGUAUUUCUGCAACAACCUUACUGUCUAUCUUGUUUAAAACAACAAAAUAAAUAAAGCUAUGUCUA
This is a long non-coding RNA of Oenanthe melanoleuca, 1112 nucleotides long. RefSeq lists it as uncharacterized. NCBI's taxonomy places the organism in Eukaryota, Metazoa, Chordata, Aves, Passeriformes, Muscicapidae. The transcript has 3 exons. The record is from RefSeq and is a predicted model, not a curated record.